UUCAAAGACUUGAAAGCUGUGUCUGGUGGU
Molecule: non-coding RNA, 30 nt
Filed under: Mus musculus (house mouse)
Lineage: Eukaryota; Metazoa; Chordata; Mammalia; Rodentia; Muridae
Source: RNAcentral